This 816-nucleotide ribosomal RNA is filed under the name uncultured bacterium. RNAcentral's name for it is "bacterial SSU rRNA". It matches the Rfam family "Bacterial small subunit ribosomal RNA", at positions 76 to 881 of the family's 1533-position model. The record is from RNAcentral.
CUCUUCGGGGAUGAUUAAACCGGCGCACGGGUGAGUAACACGUGAGUGACCUGCCUUUUAGACUGGAACAACUUACCGAAAGGUGAGCUAAUGCCGGAUGAGUUAUAUAAGUGCAUGUUUAUAUAGGAAAAGUUGGGGAGACCUGACGCUGAAAGAUGGACUCGCGUCCCAUUAGCUAGUUGGUAGGGUAAUGGCCUACCAAGGCGACGAUGGGUAGCCGGCCUGAGAGGGUGGCCGGCCACACAGGGACUGAGACACGGCCCAGACUCCUACGGGAGGCAGCAGUGGGGAAUUUUGCGCAAUGCUCGUAAGAGUGACGCAGCGACGCCGCGUGAAUGACGAAGGCCUUCGGGUCGUAAAGUUCUUUCGACAGGGAAGAAAAUGCCUAUAAGUAACUGUGUAUGUAUUGACGGUACCUGUAUAAGCAGCCCCGGCUAACUCCGUGCCAGCAGCCGCGGUAAUACGGAGGGGGCGAGCGUUGUUCGGAGUGACUGGGCGUAAAGAGCACGUAGGCGGUGUUGUAAGUCAUUAGUCAAAGACUAGAGCUCAACUUUAGUAAGGCUAGUGAUACUAUAAUACUAGAGUAUCAGAGAGGAUUGCAGAAUUCCUGGUGUAGCGGUGAAAUGCGUAGAUAUCAGGAGGAAUACCGUUAGCGAAGGCGGCAAUCUGGCUGGAAACUGACGCUGAGGUGCGAAAGCGUGGGUAGCAAACAGGAUUAGAUACCCUGGUAGUCCACGCUGUAAACGAUGGAUGCUAGGUGUUGGGCUUUUAAGUUCAGUGCCGCAGNCAACGCGAUAAGCAUCCCGCCUGGGGAGU